CGUAAACANAGGGAAGCGAGCCUGCGAGGGGGAGCGAAUCCCAAAAAUAACGUCCCAGUUCGGAUUGUAGUCUGCAACCCGACUACAUGAAGCUGGAAUCGCUAGUAAUCGCGGAUCAGAAUGCCGCGGUGAAUACGUUCCCGGGUCUUGUACACACCGCCCGUCACACCAUGGGAGCCGGGAAUGCCCGAAGUCGGUGACCCAACCGUAAGGAGGGAGCCGCCGAAGGCAGGCCUGGUAACUGGGGUGAAGUCGUAACAAGGUAUC
Molecule: ribosomal RNA, 267 nt
Filed under: uncultured bacterium
Lineage: Bacteria
Description: partial 16S ribosomal RNA
Rfam family: Bacterial small subunit ribosomal RNA
Source: RNAcentral